RNAcentral lists this transfer RNA (76 nucleotides) under Pseudomonadota bacterium. RNAcentral's name for it is "tRNA-Arg". It matches the Rfam family "tRNA". From Rfam's summary of the family: Transfer RNA (tRNA) molecules are approximately 80 nucleotides in length. Lineage: Bacteria; Pseudomonadati; Pseudomonadota. RNAcentral also lists the same sequence under 2 other names. The record is from RNAcentral.
GGGCUCGUGGCCUAGAAUGGACUAAGGCAUCGGCCUUCGGAGCCGAAGAUCGUGGGUUCAAGUCCCACCGAGCCCG